UACGGGGGGGGCAAGCGUUGUUCGGAAUUACUGGGCGUAAAGGGCGCGUAGGCGGCCUUCUAAGUCGGACGUGAAAUCCCUCGGCUCAACCGAGGAACUGCGUCCGAUACUGGCAGGCUGGAAUCCGGGAGAGGGAUGUGGAAUUCCAGGUGUAGCGGUGAAAUGCGUAGAUAUCUGGAGGAACACCGGUGGCGAAGGCGGCAUCCUGGACCGGUAUUGACGCUGAGGCGCGAAAGCUAGGGGAGCAAACGGG
This 253-nucleotide ribosomal RNA is filed under the name uncultured bacterium. Its description in RNAcentral is "partial 16S ribosomal RNA". It matches the Rfam family "Bacterial small subunit ribosomal RNA", at positions 524 to 776 of the family's 1533-position model. The record is from RNAcentral.